GCCAGGCAUGGUGGUGUAUGCCUGUGGUCCUAGCUACUUGGGAGGCUGAGGCAGGAGGAUCCCUUGAGCCCAGGAGGUCAAGGUUGCAGUGAGCCAUGGUUGUGCCACUGUACCCCAGCCUGGGUUACACAGUGAGAUCCUGUCUCAA
Unclassified non-coding RNA from Pongo abelii (Sumatran orangutan), 148 nucleotides. It matches the Rfam family "Metazoan signal recognition particle RNA". From Rfam's summary of the family: The signal recognition particle (SRP) is a universally conserved ribonucleoprotein. It is involved in the co-translational targeting of proteins to membranes. The record is from Ensembl. NCBI's taxonomy places the organism in Eukaryota, Metazoa, Chordata, Mammalia, Primates, Hominidae.